AUGCAAGUCGAGCGGACAGAUGGGAGCUUGCUCCCUGAUGUUAGCGGCGGACGGGUGAGUAACACGUGGGUAACCUGCCUGUAAGACUGGGAUAACUCCGGGAAACCGGGGCUAAUACCGGAUGGUUGUUUGAACCGCAUGGUUCAAACAUAAAAGGUGGCUUCGGCUACCACUUACAGAUGGACCCGCGGCGCAUUAGCUAGUUGGUGAGGUAACGGCUCACCAAGGCAACGAUGCGUACCCGACCUGAGAGGGUGAUCGGCCACACUGGGACUGAGACACGGCCCAGACUCCUACGGGAGGCAGCAGUAGGGAAUCUUCCGCAAUGGACGAAAGUCUGACGGAGCAACGCCGCGUGAGUGAUGAAGGUUUUCGGAUCGUAAAGCUCUGUUGUUAGGGAAGAACAAGUACCGUUCGAAUAGGGCGGUACCUUGACGGUACCUAACCAGAAAGCCACGGCUAACUACGUGCCAGCAGCCGCGGUAAUACGUAGGUGGCAAGCGUUGUCCGGAAUUAUUGGGCGUAAAGGGCUCGCAGGCGGUUUCUUAAGUCUGAUGUGAAAGCCCCCGGCUCAACCGGGGAGGGGUCAUUGGAAACUGGGGAACUUGAGUGCAAAAGAGGAGAGUGCAAUUCCACGUGUAGCGGUGAAAUGCGUAGAGAUGUGGAGGAACACCAGUGGCGAAGGCGACUCUCUGGUCUGUAACUGACGCUGAGGAGCAAAAGCGUGGGGAGCGAACAGGAUUAUAUACGCUCGAUAA
Molecule: ribosomal RNA, 758 nt
Filed under: Bacillus tequilensis
Lineage: Bacteria; Bacillati; Bacillota; Bacilli; Caryophanales; Bacillaceae
Description: bacterial SSU rRNA
Rfam family: Bacterial small subunit ribosomal RNA
Source: RNAcentral